This 892-nucleotide long non-coding RNA is filed under the name Salvia miltiorrhiza (redroot sage). RNAcentral's name for it is "long non-coding RNA (SMIL_LNC000148)". Lineage: Eukaryota; Viridiplantae; Streptophyta; Magnoliopsida; Lamiales; Lamiaceae. The record is from RNAcentral.
CUCCACUACCUUUGCUCCCCAUCAACUCCAACACUUCACCCAUUCCUUCCAUUUCGCACCAGCAAUCACAAAGAGAAGGAAGACUUGGCUUAACUACUUUGCCAAGAUUUCAAGCUGCUCCAGUCCAGUAGUACCCCAACACUCGAAGCUAGAGUUUAUUGGGUGAAAAACCGUGCAUGAGGUAAGGCAGCGAAUCUGCCAUAAGCACACUGCUCCGGCAGUGUUUUGCAAGGCGAUUCCAGCCAUCCAAACGGUUCCCAAAAAUUCCCAAAUUAAUUGUGUAUCAUCUUUCAUACAUUUUCUAUAUUUUGGUAAAAUUUCAGAAUAUUUAGAGCUCGCAUGAUUUAUUUAUGAAUUUGUAAACAUCACUGCCCAUCUGGAAUACAUUUUUGGUAAACAAUCUUUGGGAGAUCAUAAGUAAAGUUUCACUCGGUGAAAACCUUUGAAACUUGAAUAUGUCACUCUAGACUCCCGUAUCUUUCUUUUGACAUCGGCCUCACCAUUUUUGAGUAAGGGAAACAACCGGUAUAAAUUCUUGAAAUCUAGUUCUUAUUCCAUGUACCAUCCAGUAGAUUUUACAAACCUACGACUUUGAGGUGGAAAAGGCCGACUUAAAUAUUUGAUUCUCAAGCCUAUCUUUCUACUGAAUAUUCACUGACAUGUUGGGAACUUACUUGUUCAGUUUUAGAAUUUUUGGUGAAGCUUAAAGUGGUUUUUCCGAUUUAUGUUCUGAAUCUGCCAAACUUGAACUCUUUUUGUGCACUGAACUUUAGAUAGUCAUAUCUUCUAAACCAUGAAGGUUCUUAGAGUAAAUCCAACUGGAGAGUGUUAUGAUCUCUCCCUAGUUUCCAGAUUGACCUUUGGGGUUCCCAGUGGAGUUUUGUAAAGGGAG